GACGAACGCUGGCGGCGUGCCUAAUACAUGCAAGUAGGACGCAGUUGCGAACGGGUGAGUAGCGCGUAGGUAACUACCUAUUAGAGGGGGAUAACUAUUGGACACGAUAGCUAAUAACGCAUACCAGUAGAUGGACCUGCGUUGUAUUAGCUAGUAGGGAGGGUAAUGGCCUACCUAGGCAACGAUACAUAGCCGACCGGAGAGGGUGAUCGGCCACACUGGGACUGAGACACGGCCCAGACUCCUACGGGAGGCAGCAGUGGGGAAUCUUCGGCAAUGGGGGGAACCCUGACCGAGCAACGCCGCGUGAGUGAAGAAGGUUUUCGGAUCGUAAAACUCUGUUGUUAGAGAAGCGGUAUCUAACCAGAAAGCCACGGCUAACUACGUGCCAGCAGCCGCGGUAAUUC
This 407-nucleotide ribosomal RNA is filed under the name uncultured bacterium. RNAcentral's name for it is "partial 16S ribosomal RNA". It matches the Rfam family "Bacterial small subunit ribosomal RNA", at positions 28 to 526 of the family's 1533-position model. The record is from RNAcentral.